Molecule: ribosomal RNA, 253 nt
Filed under: uncultured bacterium
Lineage: Bacteria
Description: partial 16S ribosomal RNA
Rfam family: Bacterial small subunit ribosomal RNA
Source: RNAcentral
UACGGAGGGUGCAAGCGUUAAUCGGAAUUACUGGGCGUAAAGCGUGCGUAGGUGGUUCGUUAAGUCUGAUGUGAAAGCCCUGGGCUCAACCUGGGAAUGGCAUUGGAAACUGGCGACCUAGAGUGCGGUAGAGGGUAGUGGAAUUCCCGGUGUAGCAGUGAAAUGCGUAGAGAUCGGGAGGAACAUCCGUGGCGAAGGCGACUACCUGGACCAGCACUGACACUGAGGCACGAAAGCGUGGGGAGCAAACAGG